Molecule: microRNA, 22 nt
Filed under: Petromyzon marinus (sea lamprey)
Lineage: Eukaryota; Metazoa; Chordata; Hyperoartia; Petromyzontiformes; Petromyzontidae
Also listed under: 22 other names
Description: pma-miR-181a-3p
Gene: pma-miR-181a-3p
Source: miRBase by way of RNAcentral
ACCAUCGACCGUUGACUGUACC